Triticum dicoccoides is the source of this 1385-nucleotide long non-coding RNA. RefSeq lists it as uncharacterized. The record is from RefSeq and is a predicted model, not a curated record. Lineage: Eukaryota; Viridiplantae; Streptophyta; Magnoliopsida; Poales; Poaceae. The transcript is spliced from 5 exons.
CCACCACUCUCUCUCUCUCUCAUCCCUAAAAAAUCUCUCUCUCUCAUCCUCGGUCCACCCCAUCCCGGGCGUCUCGCUCACCGGAGGAGUCUCGCUCGGCCUCCCCUCUCCCUGAUCGAGCCGCCACCUCUCGCCCUCCCGCGAAAUCCAUGGCGACUGCGGCCUGAUCUGCAUCCUCGCCGGCCCUGCUGCCUCGCCGCCGCCCCUGCUGACCCCGUCUACCUCGCCGCCGCCCUGGUCUUCAAAUCGCGGCUGCCCCACUUCAACCUGCCCGCCGCCAGGUCCAACACACCAUCGCCGCCGGCCGGGAGAGGGACUUGGUGUUGUAAAACUAUUCUGUAGGGCGGCGUACAAGCUAGUCAUGCGGGCUGCAGCGCCUGACGACGCUGGUUGACCUUCUCCUAUGCGUGCAGGGCAACAUCGACGCUGGACCAGAUGGACGAGCUGCAGUGCCAAACUGGGAGAGGAAUAGACGCUCCAGCAGCAGUGGUAUUCUCUAUGCAAUCAAACAAGAAGCAUUUAGUGUUGUUUCACCGAAUCAAAAGAGACCAAAAUCAGACCACAUAUGAUUGCAGAUUAUGCGUGUGUAUGUGGAGAAGAUAACUGGGUCGAUUGAUUUGAUGUUAAUUUGUUUGCUUCACUCUGUUUAUUUAUGGCUACGACGACGGCGGCACACGAGAUGAGGCGCAGGCUUGUUUUAUCUGUUUGGUGUUAUAGAUGGUUGACGGGGAGAGACUACACUGCCGGUUUGCUGAAGUGGUAGGUUGCCAUUCAGAUAAGCGGAAGCCGGGUUCGGAGCCACCGACAGUGUCUUCCUUGGAUUCGUUCCUGCAAUAAGGAGGGGACCCACCCUUCUUCACGUGUCGAGCAACAAGGACCAGCCUUCGGCUGUUACUAUUGAUUCAUGUGCAUGUGCAAUAAAGAAAGAAAAUACAAUACUAGAUUUGGACAUAGGACGUGAACCAACAAGUUUUCACUUUCCUGACGUGGGUGCAGGGGUGAUCGAGGAGGAUUACCGUGGCCCGGUGGGUGUCGUGCUCUUCAACCACUUGGAGGUGGACUUCACCGUGAAGCCCGGUUACUACUGCACAUAGAUGAUCAUCCAGGUGAUCGCACCGUCGGAGGUCGUCGAGGUGGAGGUCCUCGACGCCACUGUCCGGGGGGAGGUCUACCGGCGUCUGAACUCCAAACCUUGGUAGAUACAUCUAGAGAAGUGGUUUGUUUAGGUUGGUGGUGGAAUACUUUCAGUUGAGAUGAUGGUUGUGUUCGUGUGAUGUUAGACGGGAUGUUGUGAUUUCUUUCAAUUGAGAUGUUGUUCCUUGACAUGAGUUUAUUUUGCACCGGGCACGUCUAUUUCUAUCCCGGAAUAAUGCAUCUAAAUUUUA